UAGAGAAUGCCUCGUAGAAUUUGUUGUAAUCUUCCUUGUUUUCAGCAAUCUCAAAGAAGAGUUCAAUGCACUUCUUCACCAAGUUCUUACGGAUAACUUUCAGGAUCUUGUUCUGUUGCAGCAUCUCUCUUGAGAUGUUGAGGGGAAGGUCCUCAGAAUCAACAAUACCCUUCACAAAUCCAAGAUACUCAGGAAUUAACUCCUCACAAUUGUCCAUGAUGAAAACACGUCUCACAUAGAGCUUGAUGUUAUUGGGCUUCUUCCUUGUGUCAAACAGAUCAAAAGGUGCCCUCUUAGGAGCAUAGAGGAUAGCCUUGAACUCAAGUUGGCCUUCAACUGAGAAGUGCUUAACAGCCAAAUGCUCCUCCCAAUCAUUGGUAAGGCUCUUGUAGAAAGCAGCAUAUUCUUCCUUAGAGAUCUCCUCUGGCUUCCUCAUCCAGAUUGGUUUCUGUUUGUUCACCAACGACCACUCAUGGGACACCUCCUUGAUCUUCUUCUUCUUCUUCUCUUCUUUUUCUUUCUCCUCGUCAACAUCUUCAACCUUCCCUUCCUCAUCCUUCUUCUCUUCCUCAUCCUCAUCAUCAGAGAUCUCCUUCUCGGUAGUCUUCUCAAUCCAGAGAGAGAUUGGAUAGCUAAUAAACUCUGAGUGCUUCUUGAUCAGGUCCUUCAGGCGGCGUUCCUCAAGGUACUCAAGUUGGUCUUCCUUGAGGAAGAGGGUAAUUUUUGUGCCCCUACCAAGAUUCUCACCGGAGGCAUCUCUGGUAACAGUAAAUGAUCCUCCAGCCUGGGACUCCCAAACAUACUGUUCAU
This 810-nucleotide long non-coding RNA is filed under the name Manihot esculenta (cassava). RNAcentral describes it as "long non-coding RNA (MESC_LNC000024)". The record is from RNAcentral. Lineage: Eukaryota; Viridiplantae; Streptophyta; Magnoliopsida; Malpighiales; Euphorbiaceae.